RNAcentral lists this ribosomal RNA (2221 nucleotides) under Plesioschendyla confossa. Its description in RNAcentral is "partial 28S ribosomal RNA". It matches the Rfam family "Eukaryotic large subunit ribosomal RNA", at positions 44 to 1266 of the family's 3401-position model. The record is from RNAcentral. Lineage: Eukaryota; Metazoa; Arthropoda; Chilopoda; Geophilomorpha; Schendylidae.
UAGUAAGCGGAGGAAAAGAAACUAACAAGGAUUCCCUCGGUAACUGCGAGUGACCAGGGAAGAGCCCAGCACCGAAGCUCCCGUCCGUAAAGAAGGGCGAGGCGCAAUGUGGUGUGUGAGAAGAAGUCUCCUCUGUACGCGGGAGCCUAAGUCCCCCUGACUGGGGCCACGGCCCAUAGCGGGUGCAAGGCCCUUAUGGCUUCGACCGAGGUAUCUGAGGUUGACUUUCUUCUCUAGAGUCGGGUUGCUUGAAAGUGCAGCCCUAAGUUGGUGGUAAACUCCAUCUAAGGCUAAAUACAGACACGAGACCGAUAGCAAACAAGUACCGUGAGGGAAAGUUGCAAAGAACUUUGAAGAGAGAGUUCAAGAGUACGUGAAACCGCUUGGAGGUAAACGGGUGGGCCCUCGAAGUUCGAAAGGAGGGAUUCAACCCGUCGCUCACGUUCCAGCCGCAGUUUCCGGUGCCCACGAGGGCUCAUAAUGGACCCCCUGGAAACGGGGCCAGCCGGCUCGGCUUGUAAAAGAGGACUGACGGCGGGCGCACUUCCCUCUCAGUAGUACGCCGCGACCGGUUGGGAGUUUAACCCGACGAGGGAAACGCAAUCGCAGCCAUAAGGCGUGGAAGUCGGGCAGGUAUCCGUUGCCGGUGUGCCACCGCUGUCCGUGUCGCUUAAUCGCGCUCGGCACUGCGGACUCAUGGAGACCGGUGGGAGUUAUAGCCCUCUGCGACCCGCUUUGCACUGCAUCCCAACCGCGAAAUAUCUCGUUAAACCGCAGAUGCGUGCCCGCGUGUAAAAACGCGCACCUCGGCACGGGCAGGCAGGAGGMAUUUUGGAGCUGAUAAAGUUUUUCGCGCCGCUUURUUGCGACGGGUAAACGCUCCACCUCCGCCCCUCGCUCGUUUGCCUGAUUUCUGGUGCGGUGGCUGAGCUGGCGGUCGGCGGCGAGUAGGUCGGUAACCCACCCGACCCGUCUUGAAACACGACCCAGGMGUCUAACAUGUGUGCGAGUCGUAGGUCUGCAAAAUGCAGCUAAACCCGAGAACGGCGUAAUUAAAGUGAAGGCUCUUUCAUCCUUCCCGGCCUUUUUGCACGCUCGGGCCUCUCCGUUUACGGACUGUUGCUCGGGAGGUGUCUGAACGGUCGGGUUAGCGUUGGGAGCUCAGGCGGGAUCCUUUCCCGAUUUUCUCGACGGCCCAUUCGUGGGCGCGGUCGCAGAAGAGAGGAGAUUAACUGGGUAACUGGCAACGAAACACACACAAAAAAAGGGAUUCGGCGGACGUUCCCCCUCCCCAAUUCAAGGGCCUUCCUAUGUUUUCAGCUUUUCCCGAUUUUGGGUAGGCGAAUCGAAAGGARUAAGCGGCCUGGGGGUGCAAAAAAUGGUAGAACGGUUAAACGCGUCCGAAAAGCCUUAACAAAUCCGACCUCCCAGAGGCGCACCGCUGGCCCGUUUCAACCGCCCUCGGUUAAUUUCGCCGCCCGCGCUACAAAGGUUUUGCCUCGCGCGCCGCGCUUCUUUUCGUCCUCGGAUUCCGUCCGUAUUCGUUUCGUAACAGAUUCGAUGCGUCCGCGUCUGUCGAGCGUCGAGAGAGUGCGUGCUUCGCGGGUGUGUGCCCAGUGGGUUUUUGAAAGGCGGUCCGAAAGUCGGUGAGGCGGAGCAAGAGCACACACGUUGGGACCCGAAAGAUGGUGAACUAUGCCCGGGCAGGACGAAGCCAGAGGAAACUCUGGUGGAGGUCCGCAGCGAUUCUGACGUGCAAAUCGAUCGUCGGACCUGGGUAUAGGGGCGAAAGACUAAUCGAACCAUCUAGUAGCUGGUUCCCUCCGAAGUUUCCCUCAGGAUAGCUGGCGCUCAUAAAAAUUCAGUCUCAUCCGGUAAAGCGAAUGAUUAGAGGCCUUGGGGCCGAAACGACCUCAACCUAUUCUCAAACUUUCAAUGGGUGAGAUGUCCGGCUUGCUUAAAAUUAGCACGAUUGGCUGUCAGAGUCACUGGUCGUCUGAGGAUUCGUUCCGCUGUCGCACCAAACUUUGCACUGUCCACGUGGGUGAAGCCCGGAUUGACAAAUGGAUGAGAGUGCCCAGUGGGCCACUUUUGGUAAGCAGAACUGGCGCUGUGGGAUGAACCAAACGUUGGGUUACGGCGCCGAAUGCGGACGCGUAUCACACCCCAUGAAAGGUGUUGGUUGCUAUUGACAGCAGGACGGUGGCCAUGGAAGUCGGAA